Molecule: ribosomal RNA, 348 nt
Filed under: Globigerinoides ruber ruber
Lineage: Eukaryota; Foraminifera; Rotaliida; Globigerinidae
Description: SSU rRNA
Source: RNAcentral
UCGUGGAGUGAUCUGUCUGCUUAAUUGCGUUUCAAAUUUUUAUUUGAGGACCAGGUUUUGGUUUGGGUAGUGGUCCUACGAUGACUGUGAACUGUCAUGUCUUCGGAUGUGCGACUAUCGGUCUAGGAUCGCAUCUCAGCCCCUGGGACUCUUUUGAACGCAACGGACGUGAUUGCAACCCCUUGUUGAGAUUAGAGGAGUCUCGAUAUUCAUUGGCCAAACUUACCGCUUCGAGCUUGCUCGUGCAGUUUUGUUAGCCGGUGGAUAAACUCGGGGGACUGCUGACUAUAACCAUUUCUCAAAACAGAGGAAGGUUGCGGCAAUAACAGGUCUGUGAUGCCCUCAGAU